AAAGAAAAAACUACGUUUGGAAUGACAUAAGUUUAAACGAUGUAAAUAAUGACUGCAUUUUCAUUCUGUGUGAACUAUUUCUUUAAGAAGUGAUGCUGAUCUAAAAGCUCCUGGAGAUGACUGGACCAAAGCGGAGGGG
Molecule: long non-coding RNA, 139 nt
Organism: Sinocyclocheilus anshuiensis
Lineage: Eukaryota; Metazoa; Chordata; Actinopteri; Cypriniformes; Cyprinidae
Exons: 2
Source: RefSeq, a predicted model, not a curated record